GGGCGUAUAGCUCAGCUGGCUAGAGUGCCACAUUGACAUUGUGGAAGUCACUGGUUCGAGUCCAGUUACGCCCA
This 74-nucleotide transfer RNA is filed under the name Planctomycetota bacterium. Its description in RNAcentral is "Planctomycetes bacterium tRNA-Val". It matches the Rfam family "tRNA". Rfam says of the family: Transfer RNA (tRNA) molecules are approximately 80 nucleotides in length. Their secondary structure includes four short double-helical elements and three loops (D, anti-codon, and T loops). Further hydrogen bonds mediate the characteristic L-shaped molecular structure. tRNAs have two regions of fundamental functional importance: the anti-codon, which is responsible for specific mRNA codon recognition, and the 3' end, to which the tRNAs corresponding amino acid is attached (by aminoacyl-tRNA synthetases). tRNAs cope with the degeneracy of the genetic code in two manners: having more than one tRNA (with a specific anti-codon) for a particular amino acid; and 'wobble' base-pairing, i.e. permitting non-standard base-pairing at the 3rd anti-codon position. The record is from RNAcentral. Lineage: Bacteria; Pseudomonadati; Planctomycetota.